GACGAACGCUGGCGGCGUGCUUAACACAUGCAAGUCGAACGGAAAGGCCCUGCUUUUGUUGGGUGCUCGAGUGGCGAACGGGUGAGUAACACGCGAGUAACCUGUCCUUGACUUUGGGAUAACUUCAGGAAACUGGGGCUAAUACCGGAUAGGAGCUCCUGCUGCAUGGUGGGGGUUGGAAAGUUUCGGCGGUUGGGGAUGGACUCGCGGCUUAUCAGCUUGUUGGUGGGGUAGUGGCUUACCAAGGCUUUGACGGGUAGCCGGCCUGAGAGGGUGACCGGCCACAUUGGGACUGAGAGACGGCCCAGACUCCUACGGGAGGCAGCAGUGGGGAAUAUUGCGCAAUAGGCGGAAGCCUGAUGCAGCAACGCCGCGUGCGUGAUGACGGCCUUCGGGUUGUAAACCGCUUUCGCCUGUGACGAAGCGUGAGUGACGGUAAUGGGUAAAGAAGCACCGGCUAACUACGUG
Molecule: ribosomal RNA, 468 nt
Filed under: uncultured bacterium
Lineage: Bacteria
Description: partial 16S ribosomal RNA
Rfam family: Bacterial small subunit ribosomal RNA
Source: RNAcentral